Non-coding RNA from Pelobates cultripes (western spadefoot toad), 347 nucleotides. The record is from the annotation of a GenBank genome assembly. NCBI's taxonomy places the organism in Eukaryota, Metazoa, Chordata, Amphibia, Anura, Pelobatidae.
GGGUAUUCCCUCUGAGAUGACCCAGAUGACCCAGAUCUCCUGGCUCUGCCUCUGAGGCUGUUGCUAUGUCCUUAGUCUAGUCAGCCCCACAGGGCCCCGGGUGUACAUGGUGCUCAUGCACGGACACAUGGGUCCAGGUCACGGGGCCACUCUGUCUCUGGCUUGUAUCCACGGUACCUAGACCAUGAGUCUUCUACUGCAGACAGGUAGUCUCUGUACAUUAAACCCUACGUCCAAGUAGGUAUAUGUUGCAUUGUUAUGGUCAUUUGGGCUAAAAUGUGGGUCCCAAUAGUCCUAUCUUGCACACCUAUAAUACAGUGUAUAUAAUGCGAUAUAAUAAUCUGUAG